Small nucleolar RNA from Malania oleifera, 88 nucleotides. RefSeq annotates it as small nucleolar RNA snoR20a. The transcript has a single exon. NCBI's taxonomy places the organism in Eukaryota, Viridiplantae, Streptophyta, Magnoliopsida, Santalales, Ximeniaceae. The record is from RefSeq and is a predicted model, not a curated record.
GCCAGUGAUGACAGUUUUCAGGUUCACGAAGCGCAGCUUUUUAAUGUGCAUAAAGUGUUGAAAAUCAUGAACUAGGACGGUCUGAGGC